Neopsephotus bourkii (Bourke's parrot) is the source of this 3060-nucleotide long non-coding RNA. RefSeq lists it as uncharacterized. The record is from RefSeq and is a predicted model, not a curated record. Lineage: Eukaryota; Metazoa; Chordata; Aves; Psittaciformes; Psittacidae. The transcript has 3 exons.
AGUGCUUUAUAGCCACAAAAAGUGCACUUAGGGAACUUGGAAGGCAGAAGCAGGAGCUGAUUAGAAGGAUGCUGUGUCCUAAUGUAUUCAAGCACUGGAUAACACUUCUGGAACUGUUAAAAGAUCUCACAGUCUCAAGGAGUGGUUUGACUCCUUUAUAUCUCUUUUCCAGAAUCCCUUUUUUUCAUGAGUGCCACACAGACUGAGCAUCACAGAGGUGCGAGUCCAAGUGUAGUGAAGGUGCUUCUCAGACAUCUAGGAUCCCUUGGCAGCUAAAACUCUGUUUUCUACAGGACCAUGAGUUUUGAAGUUGGAUGUUUCAACAUCUGUCUUCCAUUCAGACUUGAAGUGAACCCAGCAACAUGGCAUUUUCCAAUGUGAAUCCCCUCAAGGGAGUAGCUAUCCUCACGACAUGGCCAAAAUAAGUCAACAAGAUGUGAUUCUUCAUAAAAGUGGAAAAGUGCUUAAGGAAAGAAAGAAGAAUCACAUUUUUAGACUGGAGAAAACAUUUGAUGAGAUCUGAAUGCUGUAGAAAUAGAAAGCCAGCUUGACUACAAACAAAAUUAAGGGGAUGAAGCCAGCAAGUGGAAAAGCUGCAUUCCUCAUAAUAACUCUGCCAACAAGGUACUGACAGAAGAAAAUGUUGAAAGCUACAGUUUGUUAGAGCUGAAGCUGUGUUCAAAGAGAAGCUCUGUUAUUUUCUUGAUGUAAGAAUUAAAUGUUUCGGUUCUGGCUUUUUUGGAAUCUAAAAGUUACUGAUAGGCUUUUAUAAUGUUGCACAAGGGGUAUCUUAACACUAAACCAACUCCUGAAUGAUAAACCUAAGCUCAUCUUAUUGGACCAUUCUUUGCCCUUACUUUUGUAUUCGUUCACUCACUACAUAAUUAAGAUGUAUUUACCUGGGAAUUUUGUCAUCCAUUCCCCUUGAACUCAGAAGAAACUUAUGCACGUUGUGAGUAAUGUAUGUACAUGAAUCCCAUAGUUGAACUAGUGAUCUCAUAUACCACGUAUGUUUUUCAGACACAACAGCAUUACUAGUACCUUUGGUUAGAAUUUGUACUUUAAAGGUUGAAGGUGAUUAAGGCAAUUUCUGAAAUUACAUCAUCCCAACUCUGACAAGCCAGUGGGGACUGACAUUUUAAAGUAAUACUGUUUAAAAGCAGAGCAGUAAAAUUAUAAGAGCAUUUGCCAGGUUAAAGUUUUGUAAAAAUAGAGUGCUCUUCAGAUAUGAGUAACUGGAUAAUGUAUCAAGAAUAUGUUUCAUGAAAAUAUGACCCGCAAGUAUUUGCCUUCAUUUAUUGACUAUGUGCUGAAAAUCCUAAAAUUAUUUACCUUUUCUAACCCUGGGGUGCAUUUGAAGCAUUUUGCCUAUUUUGCCUGUUGUCACAAAUGUUGUAUCUUACAGAACCACUCAUCUGCAGAAUGUCAUCUGCCCUCUUUCCCACCCCCACAUUUGGCUGUGCUAAAUUGCCAGCACAGAAGUACCUCCCCUCCUUCUUUCAAACACCAAAACAUACAAGUGCCAUAAACAACCUUCUCACACAGGCUAAGACACGAACACGUGCUGUCAAUGGAGGGAGUUUUAUACUAAGUAACCCCUAAAAGUAUUUUUUUCCCUUUAGCUGAUGCUAAAUGGGUGACCUCAGCCAUGCAGACCCUCCAGUUUAAUUUCCCAAAGCAUUUAUAAGCUUGCACUCUUAGAAUUAUUUUUCAUAUACUAAAACAGCUGUGUAUACUCUUGUAGAAUGACACAAAGUUUAAUCUAAAUAAAUUUGUGAGGCUUUUUCUGGGGACUUGAUUUUGGUUGAAUUUCUAGAAUCUGCUGUUAAACAAGGUCUCCUGUUUUAGCAUCUGGCUAAAAGACUCUCAGGUGAAAUCCUUCAAGAAUCUCAUAGUUUAUACUUAAUAAGAUUUAAUUAUUUUACAAAUUAUCUCUUUCACAUUAGUGCUCCCUCUGCAUUUGCCACAUCCAAAAGAGCAAUCCAAGUGUUGAAUUAUAAAAAACAACUCCAGUAUAGAAAUAUGGGUAAUACACACAAGGUCAAAAAACAGGCAAGAGUAAUUUGCAACAACUAAAUUGCUUGAUGUAAUACUUUGGCUUGAUAGUCUUUAAGAGGAGACUUUACAUAAGUCAAAGGUCUUUGGAGUAAUUUGCAAAUCAAAAUCCUACCACUCUCCUAAAUCCUUUUAAUCCAGUCGUUAAUCUCAAUAAUGACCUAGUUUUUGGAACCUUUACUGUGUUCAGCCACUUAAUGACAUUACCUAGUUUGCCCUUUGAAACUUUUAAAGGAGAAAUACAUGGACAUAAAUAACAUCCUGCUAAAAUGUAACUGAAGCCAUCCUGAACAAGUGCAGUUUUAUAGAAGAAAAUAUCCUAGCACCUGCUGAAGUCUCAUAAAGCUUCUCUCUUUAUCAUAACACUAUGAUUUUUAUUAGGUAGUAGAGCUUUGCAUAAUAGAAUGGAAGAAUGAGGUGGAUACCAAAUAGCUGACAAUUGUUAAAGACAUCAAAGUGAAGAAUGAGCAGCUAUUAUAUAGUCUGGAUUUUUUUCUUAGCAUCGACUGCUGUGCAUUGUAUGAUCACUGAUAUACCUGUUUUUCUGCAAAAAUAGAUCAUGGAGAAAAUCACUGGAUUCAUAUGAGUUUUGAAAUUAUAGAGGAAAGAAACUAUCAAACAUGAAAACACACAGAGCAACUAUUUCCAUGUGAUUCUGUUACAGAGAGUAAGAACUGGUUCACUUUUAGUGGGAGACACUUCAUUAAUACCAAAGUUCCUCAACAAGAGAAGGCAUAGACCAGCUAAACUACAGCUUUGUACAGCACUAAAUGCUCUCCAAUGCUAUGCACAGGUGAAAAUUAAAGCCUGAAGUUCACUUACAGUCAUUGCUUAGCUGGCAUAUAGGCUCUGUACUGUGUCUGGGGCAGCAUGCCAGAAGAGUUUUACACAGUAGGUUGAUGCAAUUUCUGUGUAAUUCCACCACCAAGAUAAUCACAUACUUGAUGGAUUCCCAGAUAUCUUUCAAAACUGUUAAGCAUAUUUUCAAAUGGAAUGCUCGAACAG